This is a small nuclear RNA of Cornus florida, 105 nucleotides long. Lineage: Eukaryota; Viridiplantae; Streptophyta; Magnoliopsida; Cornales; Cornaceae. The record is from RefSeq and is a predicted model, not a curated record.
UACUAAAAGAUCAAAUAGUACUAACUUAAUAUGGGCAUUUAAUAUAACAAGCAUGGCCCCUGCGCAAGGAUGACACGCACAAAUCCAGAAAUGGUCCAAAUUUUU